This 21-nucleotide microRNA is filed under the name Malus domestica (apple). Its description in RNAcentral is "mdm-miR7128". The record is from miRBase by way of RNAcentral. Lineage: Eukaryota; Viridiplantae; Streptophyta; Magnoliopsida; Rosales; Rosaceae.
AUCAUUAACACUUAAUAACGA